RNAcentral lists this ribosomal RNA (392 nucleotides) under Klebsiella pneumoniae subsp. pneumoniae KPNIH6. RNAcentral describes it as "bacterial LSU rRNA". It matches the Rfam family "Bacterial large subunit ribosomal RNA", at positions 2542 to 2925 of the family's 2925-position model. The record is from RNAcentral. Lineage: Bacteria; Pseudomonadati; Pseudomonadota; Gammaproteobacteria; Enterobacterales; Enterobacteriaceae.
ACAGUCCUGGGGCUGAAGUAGGUCCCAAGGGUAUGGCUGUUCGCCAUUUAAAGUGGUACGCGAGCUGGGUUUAGAACGUCGUGAGACAGUUCGGUCCCUAUCUGCCGUGGGCGCUGGAGAAUUGAGGGGGGCUGCUCCUAGUACGAGAGGACCGGAGUGGACGCAUCACUGGUGUUCGGGUUGUCAUGCCAAUGGCACUGCCCGGUAGCUAAAUGCGGAAGAGAUAAGUGCUGAAAGCAUCUAAGCACGAAACUUGCCCCGAGAUGAGUUCUCCCUGAGACUUUAAGUCUCCUGAAGGAACGUUGAAGACGACGACGUUGAUAGGCCGGGUGUGUAAGCGCAGCGAUGCGUUGAGCUAACCGGUACUAAUGAACCGUGAGGCUUAACCUUAC